RNAcentral lists this ribosomal RNA (497 nucleotides) under uncultured bacterium. RNAcentral's name for it is "partial 16S ribosomal RNA". It matches the Rfam family "Bacterial small subunit ribosomal RNA", at positions 28 to 507 of the family's 1533-position model. The record is from RNAcentral.
GAUGAACGCUGGCGGCGUGCCUAAUACAUGCAAGUCGAGCGAACGGACGAGAAGCUUGCUUCUCUGAUGUUAGCGGCGGACGGGUGAGUAACACGUGGAUAACCUACCUAUAAGACUGGGAUAACUUCGGGAAACCGGAGCUAAUACCGGAUAAUAUUUUGAACCGCAUGGUUCAAAAGUGAAAGACGGUCUUGCUGUCACUUAUAGAUGGAUCCGCGCUGCAUUAGAUAGUUGGUAAGGUAACGGCUUACCAAGGCAACGAUGCAUAGCCGACCUGAGAGGGUGAUCGGCCACACUGGAACUGAGCCACGGUCCAGACUCCUACGGGAGGCAGCAGUAGGGAAUCUUCCGCAAUGGGCGAAAGCCUGACGGAGCAACGCCGCGUGAGUGAUGAAGGUCUUCGGAUCGUAAAACUCUGUUAUUAGGGAAGAACAUAUGUGUAAGUAACUGUGCACAUCUUGACGGUACCUAAUCAGAAAGCCACGGCUAACUACGUG